This 434-nucleotide ribosomal RNA is filed under the name uncultured bacterium. RNAcentral's name for it is "partial 16S ribosomal RNA". It matches the Rfam family "Bacterial small subunit ribosomal RNA", at positions 29 to 507 of the family's 1533-position model. The record is from RNAcentral.
AGCGAACGCUGGCGGCAGGCCUAACACAUGCAAGUCGAACGAACCUUUCGGGGUUAGUGGCGGACGGGUGAGUAACACGUGGGAACGUGCCUUUAGGUUCGGAAUAACUCAGGGAAACUGGGGCUAAUACCGGAUGUGCCCUUCGGGGGAAAGAUUAAUCGCCGUUAGAGCGGCCCGCGUCUGAUUAGCUAGUUGGUUGAGGUAAUGGCUCACCAAGGCGACGAUCAGUAGCUGGUCUGAGAGGAUGAUCAGCCACAUUGGGACUGAGACACGGCCCAAACUCCUACGGGAGGCAGCAGUGGGGAAUCUUGCGCAAUGGGCGAAAGCCUGACGCAGCCAUGCCGCGUGAAUGAUGAAGGUCUUAGGAUUGUAAAAUUCUUUCAGCUGGGACGAUAAUGACGGUACCCGGAGAAGAAGCCCCGGCUAACUUCGUG